GAUGGCGCAUGGUGUAUACGGAUGGUGCUUAAAGAAAAGCCGUCUGAUUAUAGUAAAGUACGAUUAUAUGCAUCAAUAAGUCACGUACUGGGUUAGGCAGGAUUUAAACCAAUAGGAUGUUUCAUGCUAGCCCAAUAUCUCUCUUAUUAAAUCUCAACCCGUUAGAUAUAAGAUCCAAUGGUCAGAAUAAUUGAGGUGAUGUGGAUCAACGUGGAGGCUCCCCUCGAUAUCCCUCAUAUUGUUAAUAACUCAUCCUACUUGAGGAAAAAUGUUGAUCACUCUAAAUGGGUUGAGCUUAUUGCUCCUUAAUAUUCUCAUGAUUCACAAUGAUAAAGAAGAAAAAAUAAAGUUGAGAGGUGGUAAUAUAUUGGUCGUCCAACGGUGUAUAUCUUUGACACCGUACAAAUAAAAUUAGAUCAUGACAAAUGAAGCUAGCUUGCUGCUUAAUAUUCUCACUUCGUGAUACAGAUUAUGACGAUGGAGCUACGCUUAUACUCCAGUACGUAAUAUUCUUAUGUUCAUGAAGAAACACGAAAAAUAACCUGAGAGGUCGUAGAGUGUUGAUUAUUGAUUCUCUAAAGGAGAUUAACGCUAACCACAACAUAUUCCGCAUAGGUGGAUCUUAGAACAAUUUGAUUCCAUGCAUCUAAGAAUGUGCCUCCAUUUUUCAGUAGAGAUGUGACAUGGCUUUUUUACAAAAAAAAUAAUCCCACAGUAACAUGUCUGGAGUAGAUUAGGUUCCGCUUUUAAGCAGUCUGCUACGUGCAUGAAAGACGUGGCAGACAUGUCUCUUCGUCAAAAAAAAAAACCGUAACAACCAUGUUUCCUCGUCAAAAAAAAAAAGAUGUGGCAGUUAUUUGCGCAUGUUAGAGGUUUCCAACGUAAUGUGUGUUUGUACCUCAACGUGUUUGAGGGGAGAACGUGAACGUUUUCCACGCAGUUUGACCUCAAAUCUAACGGUCAGAACAAUUUUGAUGAUGGAUCAACGUGGAGUCUUUUUUCGAUAUUCCUCAUAUUGCUUUUAGUAUAUAAUAAAUUUUGCGCAAGUGACAGGUAAAUGAUAGAACUCAUACAAAAUCUGACUCACACAAAGAUCAGUCUUGGUUACCAAACUACCAAAGAACUCGUAAAUGAGCAAAUGAGCAACUGAUAAAGUGUCGAAUAUCAAACGUGUGGAAUAACCACAAAUCAUGUAAUGUUCACGAGCCAAAGAGAAAAAAAAAAUCAAAUGAUGUUCUUGUUCACCAAUAUCUUACCCUUUCCUCUUCUUUAUUUCUCAGAUGUGAACACACAAGUACAUAACGUUUGGAGAAGAGGUAAGUUCACAUUACCUCUAAACUUAUACUCCCUCCGAGCGGUAUUAUUUGUCUCAAAUUUGCCC
This 1381-nucleotide long non-coding RNA is filed under the name Brachypodium distachyon (stiff brome). RNAcentral's name for it is "long non-coding RNA (BDIS_LNC000923)". The record is from RNAcentral. Lineage: Eukaryota; Viridiplantae; Streptophyta; Magnoliopsida; Poales; Poaceae.